RNAcentral lists this non-coding RNA (45 nucleotides) under Trichobilharzia regenti. The record is from RNAcentral. Lineage: Eukaryota; Metazoa; Platyhelminthes; Trematoda; Strigeidida; Schistosomatidae.
AUCCAGCUGACGAGUCCCAAAUAGGACAAAAUGUGCAGCCUGGAU